Molecule: ribosomal RNA, 369 nt
Filed under: uncultured organism
Description: bacterial SSU rRNA
Rfam family: Bacterial small subunit ribosomal RNA
Source: RNAcentral
CGUAGGGUGCGAGCGUUAAUCGGAAUUACUGGGCGUAAAGCGUGCGCAGGCGGUUUUGUAAGACAGAUGUGAAAUCCCCGGGCUCAACCUGGGACCUGCAUUGUGACUGCAAGGCUAGAGUACGGUAGAGGGGGAUGGAAUUCCGCGUGUAGCAGUGAAAUGCGUAGAUAUGCGGAGGAACACCGAUGGCGAAGGCAAUCCCCUGGACCUGUACUGACGCUCAUGCACGAAAGCGUGGGGAGCAAACAGGAUUAGAUACCCUGGUAGUCCACGCCCUAAACGAUGUCAACUGGUUGUUGGGUCUUUACUGACUCAGUAACGAAGCUAACGCGUGAAGUUGACCGCCUGGGGAGUACGGCCGCAAGGUUG